UCGUCGGCCCUUUUCAGGGCCAUCAAAUUAAUGCAAAAAGUUAAA
Aedes aegypti (yellow fever mosquito) is the source of this 45-nucleotide non-coding RNA. Lineage: Eukaryota; Metazoa; Arthropoda; Insecta; Diptera; Culicidae. The record is from Rfam.